RNAcentral lists this ribosomal RNA (301 nucleotides) under uncultured bacterium. Its description in RNAcentral is "partial 16S ribosomal RNA". It matches the Rfam family "Bacterial small subunit ribosomal RNA", at positions 509 to 807 of the family's 1533-position model. The record is from RNAcentral.
CAGCCGCCGCGGGAACACGUAGGUGGCAAGCGUUGUCCGGAAUUAUUGGGCGUAAAGGGCUCGCAGGCGGUUUCUUAAGUCUGAUGUGAAAGCCCCCGGCUCAACCGGGGAGGGUCAUUGGAAACUGGGAAACUUGAGUGCAGUAGAGGAGAGUGGAAUUCCACGUGUAGCGGUGAAAUGCGUAGAGAUGUGGAGGAACACCAGUGGCAAAGGCGACUCUCUGGUCUGUAACUGACGCUGAGGAGCGAAAGCGUGGGGAGCGAACAGGAUUAGAUACCCGGGUAGUCCCUGUCUCUUAUAC